UUUUUCUCUGCUCAGGACGAACGCCGGCGGCGUGCCUAAUACAUGCAAGUCGAGCGGACAGAUGGGAGCUUGCUCCCUGAUGUUAGCGGCGGACGGGUGAGUAACACGUGGGUAACCUGCCUGUAAGACUGGGAUAACUCCGGGAAACCGGGGCUAAUACCGGAUGGUUGUUUGAACCGCAUGGUUCAAACAUAAAAGGUGGCUUCGGCUACCACUUACAGAUGGACCCGCGGCGCAUUAGCUAGUUGGUGAGGUAACGGCUCACCAAGGCAACGAUGCGUAGCCGACCUGAGAGGGUGAUCGGCCACACUGGGACUGAGACACGGCCCAGACUCCUACGGGAGGCAGCAGUAGGGAAUCUUCCGCAAUGGACGAAAGUCUGACGGAGCAACGCCGCGUGAGUGAUGAAGGUUUUCGGAUCGUAAAGCUCUGUUGUUAGGGAAGAACAAGUACCGUUCGAAUAGGGCGGUACCUUGACGGUACCUAACCAGAAAGCCACGGCUAACUACGUGCCAGCAGCCGCGGUAAUACGUAGGUGGCAAGCGUUGUCCGGAAUUAUUGGGCGUAAAGGGCUCCGCAGGCGGUUUCUUAAGUCUGAUGUGAAAGCCCCCGGCUCAACCGGGGAGGGUCAUUGGAAACUGGGGAACUUGAGUGCAGAAGAGGAGAGUGGAAUUCCACGUGUAGCGGUGAAAUGCGUAGAGAUGUGGAGGAACACCAGUGGCGAAGGCGACUCUCUGGUCUGUAACUGACGCUGAGGAGCGAAAGCGUGGGGAGCGAACAGGAUUAGAUACCCUGGUAGUCCACGCCGUAAACGAUGAGUGCUAAGUGUUAGGGGGUUUCCGCCCCUUAGUGCUGCAGCUAACGCAUAAGCACUCCGCCUGGAGACGUCCA
RNAcentral lists this ribosomal RNA (891 nucleotides) under Bacillus subtilis. Its description in RNAcentral is "bacterial SSU rRNA". It matches the Rfam family "Bacterial small subunit ribosomal RNA", at positions 13 to 885 of the family's 1533-position model. Lineage: Bacteria; Bacillati; Bacillota; Bacilli; Caryophanales; Bacillaceae. The record is from RNAcentral.